GAUGAAGAACGCAGCGAAAUGCGAUAAGUAAUGUGAAUUGCAGAAUUCAGUGAAUCAUCGAAUCUUUGAACGCACAUUGCGCCCGCCAGUAUUCUGGCGGGCAUGCCUGUUCGAGCGUCAUUUCAACCAUCAAGCCCCAGUCUUGUGUUGGGGACCUGCGGCUGCCGCAGGCCCUGAAAACCAGUGGCGGGCUCGCUGUCACACCGGGCGUAGUAGAUUUUAUCUCGCUCAGGGCGUGCUGCGGGUUCCGGCCGUUAAAAAGCCUUUUUUACCCAAGGUUGACCUCGGAUCAGGUAGGAAGACCCGCUGAACUUAAGCAUAUCAAUAAGCGGAGGA
This 336-nucleotide unclassified non-coding RNA is filed under the name soil metagenome. RNAcentral describes it as "partial contains 5.8S ribosomal RNA, internal transcribed spacer 2, and large subunit ribosomal RNA". The stretch from base 1 to 120 matches the Rfam family "5.8S ribosomal RNA", at positions 35 to 154 of the family's 154-position model. The record is from RNAcentral.